Long non-coding RNA from Homo sapiens (human), 482 nucleotides. The record is from Ensembl. NCBI's taxonomy places the organism in Eukaryota, Metazoa, Chordata, Mammalia, Primates, Hominidae.
GUUUGAAAGGCUGAGGGUGAAGGAGCGACAGAUCUGAAAAUAGCCGGAGCUGAGGGGCCUCAGGGUCUACCCUGACUCGCUUUUCCCGGACGGUCUCCUAGGAGAGAGGCUGUGGCCAGCUGACGCGACUUCCUUCUGCUACUGAGGUGAGAAGUCUUAGGGCAGAUGCGGAUGUCCAGGGCUUCGAGAUGGAGUCUCACUGUGGCACCCAGGCUGGAGUACACUGGCAUGAUCUCGGCUCACUGUAACUUCCACCUCCCAGGAUCAAGCAAUUCUCCCUGCCUCAGCCUCCUGAGUAGCUGGAAUUACAGGCGCCCACCAUAGUGCCCGGCUAAUUUUUGUAUUUUUUUAGUAGAGACGGGGUUUCACGAUGUUGGUCAGGCUGGUCUUGAACUCCGGACCUCAAGUGAUCUACCCACCUCGGCCUCCCAAAGUGCUGGGAUUACAGGCAUGAGCCACCAGCCGGCCGGUUUUCAAACCUA